RNAcentral lists this transfer RNA (541 nucleotides) under uncultured cyanobacterium. RNAcentral describes it as "partial 16S-23S ribosomal RNA intergenic spacer". The stretch from base 212 to 284 matches the Rfam family "tRNA". Lineage: Bacteria; Bacillati; Cyanobacteriota. The record is from RNAcentral.
CAGGGAGACAACAAAAUGUUUAAUAUUAUUAUUUUGUCACCUUAGGUCGAUCGGUAUCUCACGUUUUUAAUUUAUUAAGAAUUUCAUUUCCUAAGUUUUUCUAGGUCACACCCAUUAUUUUUCCUGGGCCAUUAGCUCAGGUGGUUAGAGCGCACCCCUGAUAAGGGUGAGGUCCCUGGUUCAAGUCCAGGAUGGCCCAUAUCUCUAUGUUGGGGGUAUAGCUCAGUUGGUAGAGCGCCUGCUUUGCAAGCAGGAUGUCAGCGGUUCGAGUCCGCUUACCUCCACUGAUUACCACCUCUUCCAUAACCGGUAGUAAGGAAAUGUUUUGAGUUGUGACCAAAUCCUGAAAGAAUCUAGCUUCCUAAUGAAAUCAUUAAGAUGCUGGACUCAUUGAAUUAACUUCAUUGUUUUCAGAGAACCUUGACGACUGCAUAGAUUAUUUUUAAAGACAAUAAGCAUCUUUAAUGAUGCAGAUUUAUUAUUUGUGCGAAUGCAUUAAUAACAAUUCUAUUAAGCUGAUGCUUCAAUUUUUGAAGUUAUU